GCCGUCGUAGCUCAGCAGGUAGAGCAACGCCAUGGUAAGGCGUAGGUCAAGAGUUCGAAUCUCUCCGUCGGCUCCA
Molecule: transfer RNA, 76 nt
Filed under: Bacillota bacterium
Lineage: Bacteria; Bacillati; Bacillota
Also listed under: 5 other names
Description: tRNA-Thr
Rfam family: tRNA
About the family: Transfer RNA (tRNA) molecules are approximately 80 nucleotides in length. Their secondary structure includes four short double-helical elements and three loops (D, anti-codon, and T loops). Further hydrogen bonds mediate the characteristic L-shaped molecular structure. tRNAs have two regions of fundamental functional importance: the anti-codon, which is responsible for specific mRNA codon recognition, and the 3' end, to which the tRNAs corresponding amino acid is attached (by aminoacyl-tRNA synthetases). tRNAs cope with the degeneracy of the genetic code in two manners: having more than one tRNA (with a specific anti-codon) for a particular amino acid; and 'wobble' base-pairing, i.e. permitting non-standard base-pairing at the 3rd anti-codon position.
Source: RNAcentral